Molecule: ribosomal RNA, 2990 nt
Filed under: Pseudomonas aeruginosa
Lineage: Bacteria; Pseudomonadati; Pseudomonadota; Gammaproteobacteria; Pseudomonadales; Pseudomonadaceae
Description: 23S ribosomal RNA
Rfam family: Bacterial large subunit ribosomal RNA
Source: RNAcentral
GGUCAAGUGAAGAAGCGCAUACGGUGGAUGCCUUGGCAGUCAGAGGCGAUGAAAGACGUGGUAGCCUGCGAAAAGCUUCGGGGAGUCGGCAAACAGACUUUGAUCCGGAGAUCUCUGAAUGGGGGAACCCACCUAGGAUAACCUAGGUAUCUUGUACUGAAUCCAUAGGUGCAAGAGGCGAACCAGGGGAACUGAAACAUCUAAGUACCCUGAGGAAAAGAAAUCAACCGAGAUUCCCUUAGUAGUGGCGAGCGAACGGGGAUUAGCCCUUAAGCUUCAUUGAUUUUAGCGGAACGCUCUGGAAAGUGCGGCCAUAGUGGGUGAUAGCCCCGUACGCGAAAGGAUCUUUGAAGUGAAAUCGAGUAGGACGGAGCACGAGAAACUUUGUCUGAACAUGGGGGGACCAUCCUCCAAGGCUAAAUACUACUGACUGACCGAUAGUGAACCAGUACCGUGAGGGAAAGGCGAAAAGAACCCCGGAGAGGGGAGUGAAAUAGAACCUGAAACCGUAUGCGUACAAGCAGUGGGAGCCUACUUGUUAGGUGACUGCGUACCUUUUGUAUAAUGGGUCAGCGACUUAUAUUCAGUGGCAAGCUUAACCGUAUAGGGUAGGCGUAGCGAAAGCGAGUCUUAAUAGGGCGUUUAGUCGCUGGGUAUAGACCCGAAACCGGGCGAUCUAUCCAUGAGCAGGUUGAAGGUUAGGUAACACUGACUGGAGGACCGAACCCACUCCCGUUGAAAAGGUAGGGGAUGACUUGUGGAUCGGAGUGAAAGGCUAAUCAAGCUCGGAGAUAGCUGGUUCUCCUCGAAAGCUAUUUAGGUAGCGCCUCAUGUAUCACUCUGGGGGGUAGAGCACUGUUUCGGCUAGGGGGUCAUCCCGACUUACCAAACCGAUGCAAACUCCGAAUACCCAGAAGUGCCGAGCAUGGGAGACACACGGCGGGUGCUAACGUCCGUCGUGAAAAGGGAAACAACCCAGACCGCCAGCUAAGGUCCCAAAGUUGUGGUUAAGUGGUAAACGAUGUGGGAAGGCUUAGACAGCUAGGAGGUUGGCUUAGAAGCAGCCACCCUUUAAAGAAAGCGUAAUAGCUCACUAGUCGAGUCGGCCUGCGCGGAAGAUGUAACGGGGCUCAAACCACACACCGAAGCUGCGGGUGUCACGUANNNNNNNNNNNNNNNNNNNNNNNNNNNNNNNNNNNNNNNNNNNNNNNNNNNNNNNNNNNNNNNNNNNNNNNNNNNNNNNNNNNNNNNNNNNNNNNCGUAAGUGACGCGGUAGAGGAGCGUUCUGUAAGCCUGUGAAGGUGAGUUGAGAAGCUUGCUGGAGGUAUCAGAAGUGCGAAUGCUGACAUGAGUAACGACAAUGGGUGUGAAAAACACCCACGCCGAAAGACCAAGGGUUCCUGCGCAACGUUAAUCGACGCAGGGUUAGUCGGUUCCUAAGGCGAGGCUGAAAAGCGUAGUCGAUGGGAAACAGGUUAAUAUUCCUGUACUUCUGGUUACUGCGAUGGAGGGACGGAGAAGGCUAGGCCAGCUUGGCGUUGGUUGUCCAAGUUUAAGGUGGUAGGCUGAAAUCUUAGGUAAAUCCGGGGUUUCAAGGCCGAGAGCUGAUGACGAGUCGUCUUUUAGAUGACGAAGUGGUUGAUGCCAUGCUUCCAAGAAAAGCUUCUAAGCUUCAGGUAACCAGGAACCGUACCCCAAACCGACACAGGUGGUCGGGUAGAGAAUACCAAGGCGCUUGAGAGAACUCGGGUGAAGGAACUAGGCAAAAUGGCACCGUAACUUCGGGAGAAGGUGCGCCGGCUAGGGUGAAGGAUUUACUCCGUAAGCUCUGGCUGGUCGAAGAUACCAGGCCGCUGCGACUGUUUAUUAAAAACACAGCACUCUGCAAACACGAAAGUGGACGUAUAGGGUGUGACGCCUGCCCGGUGCCGGAAGGUUAAUUGAUGGGGUUAGCGCAAGCGAAGCUCUUGAUCGAAGCCCCGGUAAACGGCGGCCGUAACUAUAACGGUCCUAAGGUAGCGAAAUUCCUUGUCGGGUAAGUUCCGACCUGCACGAAUGGCGUAACGAUGGCGGCGCUGUCUCCACCCGAGACUCAGUGAAAUUGAAAUCGCUGUGAAGAUGCAGUGUAUCCGCGGCUAGACGGAAAGACCCCGUGAACCUUUACUGUAGCUUUGCACUGGACUUUGAGCCUGCUUGUGUAGGAUAGGUGGGAGGCUUUGAAGCGUGGACGCCAGUUCGCGUGGAGCCAUCCUUGAAAUACCACCCUGGCAUGCUUGAGGUUCUAACUCUGGUCCGUGAUCCGGAUCGAGGACAGUGUAUGGUGGGCAGUUUGACUGGGGCGGUCUCCUCCUAAAGAGUAACGGAGGAGUACGAAGGUGCGCUCAGACCGGUCGGAAAUCGGUCGCAGAGUAUAAAGGCAAAAGCGCGCUUGACUGCGAGACAGACACGUCGAGCAGGUACGAAAGUAGGUCUUAGUGAUCCGGUGGUUCUGUAUGGAAGGGCCAUCGCUCAACGGAUAAAAGGUACUCCGGGGAUAACAGGCUGAUACCGCCCAAGAGUUCAUAUCGACGGCGGUGUUUGGCACCUCGAUGUCGGCUCAUCACAUCCUGGGGCUGAAGCCGGUCCCAAGGGUAUGGCUGUUCGCCAUUUAAAGUGGUACGCGAGCUGGGUUUAGAACGUCGUGAGACAGUUCGGUCCCUAUCUGCCGUGGACGUUUGAGAUUUGAGAGGGGCUGCUCCUAGUACGAGAGGACCGGAGUGGACGAACCUCUGGUGUUCCGGUUGUCACGCCAGUGGCAUUGCCGGGUAGCUAUGUUCGGAAAAGAUAACCGCUGAAAGCAUCUAAGCGGGAAACUUGCCUCAAGAUGAGAUCUCACUGGGAACUUGAUUCCCCUGAAGGGCCGUCGAAGACUACGACGUUGAUAGGCUGGGUGUGUAAGCGUUGUGAGGCGUUGAGCUAACCAGUACUAAUUGCCCGUGAGGCUUGACCAU